GUAGGUGGCAAGCGUUGUCCGGAAUUAUUGGGCGUAAAGCGCGCGCAGGCGGUUCUUUAAGUCUGAUGUGAAAGCCCACGGCUCAACCGUGGAGGGUCAUUGGAAACUGGAGAACUUGAGUACAGAAGAGGAAAGCGGAAUUCCACGUGUAGCGGUGAAAUGCGUAGAGAUGUAGAGGAACACCAGUGGCGAAGGCGGCUUUCUGGUCUGUAACUGACGCUGAGGCGCGAAAGCGUGGGGGAGCAAACAGGAUUAGAUACCCUGGUAGUCCACGCCGUAAACGAUGAGUGCUAGGUGUUAGGGGGUUUCCGCCCCUUAGUGCUGCAGCUAACGCAUUAAGCACUCCGCCUGGGAGUACGGCCGCAAGGCUG
This 371-nucleotide ribosomal RNA is filed under the name uncultured organism. RNAcentral's name for it is "partial 16S ribosomal RNA". It matches the Rfam family "Bacterial small subunit ribosomal RNA", at positions 527 to 896 of the family's 1533-position model. The record is from RNAcentral.